CGCCGGAAGACCAGGCUAGUGCGGAGCGGGGCUAGCGCUCACAGGCCGGUGCUCGCUCCGCGGCGGGAGAGCGUCUCUAUGUUUCAAAGUGACAACUUGCCAGUUUCACAAUGCAUCCUUUCCUAAAAACUGACCACCAUCUCUGGUCUAGUUUUGGCUGACUCAUGGAGGAUGUCCAGUGGAGGAUUUUUGUGUCUUAUGCUUCACCUUUUCACGUCAGAGUAAAACUGCCUUUGCAAAGAUUAUGAUGACUUUUGCAUCCUGGCAACUGACUAACUUCACCCAGAUGAUCUGAGACUCAGGAAUCAACCGGUCCUGUGGGCCCCCCACCUAGAGGCUGACUCAGCACAUGAGGACUGUUUUCCACACCCCUAUGAUUUCUUCCCCAACCAGUCAGCAGCACCCAUUCCCUAGCCCCCUCCCACCAAAUUAUCCAUAGUACUCUAGCCUCUCAGUUCUCAAGAAGACUGAUUUGAGUAAUAAACUCCCACCUUCUGCUUACCUAACCCUGCAAUAAUUAAA
Saimiri boliviensis boliviensis (Bolivian squirrel monkey) is the source of this 522-nucleotide long non-coding RNA. RefSeq lists it as uncharacterized. Lineage: Eukaryota; Metazoa; Chordata; Mammalia; Primates; Cebidae. The record is from RefSeq and is a predicted model, not a curated record.